CCUACGGGAGGCAGCAGUGAGGAAUAUUGGUCAAUGGACGCAAGCCUGAACCAGCCAUGCCGCGUGCAGGAAGACGGCCCUAUGGGUUGUAAACUGCUUUUGCAGGAGGGUAAACGCAGAUACGUGUAUCCGUCUGAAAGUACCGUACGAAUAAGGAUCGGCUAACUCCGUGCCAGCAGCCGCGGUAAUACGGAGGAUGCAAGCGUUAUCCGGAUUUAUUGGGUUUAAGGGGUGCGUAGGCGGUCGGAUAAGUUAGAGGUGAAAUCCCGGGGCUCAACUUCGGAAUUGCCGCUGAUACUGGCCGGCUAGAGAGUAGUAGAGGUAGGCGGAAUGUAUGGUGUAGCGGUGAAAUGCUUAGAGAUCAUACAGAACACCGAUUGCGAAGGCAGCUUACCGGGCUACUUCUGACGCUGAGGCACGAAAGCGUGGGGAGCAAACAGGAUUAGAUACCCGGGUAGUC
Molecule: ribosomal RNA, 460 nt
Filed under: uncultured bacterium
Lineage: Bacteria
Description: partial 16S ribosomal RNA
Rfam family: Bacterial small subunit ribosomal RNA
Source: RNAcentral